RNAcentral lists this ribosomal RNA (235 nucleotides) under uncultured bacterium. RNAcentral's name for it is "partial 16S ribosomal RNA". It matches the Rfam family "Bacterial small subunit ribosomal RNA", at positions 100 to 334 of the family's 1533-position model. The record is from RNAcentral.
CGGUACGGGUGCGUAACACGUGUGCAACCUGCCUUUAUCUGGGGGAUAGCCUUUCGAAAGGAAGAUUAAUACUCCAUAAUAUAUUGAACGGCAUCGUUUAAUACUGAAAGCUCCGGCGGAUAGAGAUGGGCACGCGCAAGAUUAGCUAGUUGGUGAGGUAACGGCUCACCAAGGCGAUGAUCUUUAGGGGGCCUGAGAGGGUGAUCCCCCACACUGGUACUGAGACACGGACCAG